CUACGGAGGAUGCAAGCGUUAUCCGGAUUUAUUGGGUUUAAAGGGUGCGUAGGCGGUUUGCUAAGCGGGAGGUGAAAUGCCGGCGCUCAACGUCGGAAGUGCCUCCCGAACUGGUGGACUUGAAUGACUCUGCCGUGGGAGGAAUGUGUAGUGUAGCGGUGAAAUGCUUAGAGAUUACACAGAACACCGAUUGCGAAGGCAUCUCACGAAGGGUUGAUUGACGCUGAGGCACGAAAGCGUGGGGAUCAAACAGGAUUAGAUACCCUGGUAGUCCACGCAGUAAACGAUGAUGGCUAACCGCUGGGCUUAUCAGUUCAGUGGCCAAGCGAAAGCGAUAAGCCAUCCACCUGGGGAGUACGACCGCAAGGUUGAAACUCAAAUGAAUUGGCGGGG
Molecule: ribosomal RNA, 393 nt
Filed under: uncultured bacterium
Lineage: Bacteria
Description: partial 16S ribosomal RNA
Rfam family: Bacterial small subunit ribosomal RNA
Source: RNAcentral